GAUGAACGCUAGCUACAGGCUUAACACAUGCAAGUCGAGGGGCAGCACAGUGUAGCAAUACACGGGUGGCGACCGGCGCACGGGUGCGUAACGCGUAUCCAACCUUCCCGUUACUCUUGGAUAGCCUUCCGAAAGGGAGAUUAAUACAAGAUGGUAUUCAAAUUCCGCAUGUUAUUUGAAUUAAAGAUUUAUCGGUAACGGAUGGGGAUGCGUGACAUUAGGUAGAUGGUGGGGUAACGGCCCACCAUGCCUACGAUGUCUAGGGGUUCUGAGAGGAAGGUCCCCCACACUGGAACUGAGACACGGUCCAGACUCCUACGGGAGGCAGCAGUGAGGAAUAUUGGUCAAUGGACGAGAGUCUGAACCAGCCAAGUAGCGUGAAGGAUGAAGGUUCUAUGGAUUGUAAACUUCUUUUAUACGGGAAUAAAACCUCCCACGUGUGGGAGCUUGUAUGUACCGUAUGAAUAAGCAUCGGCUAAACUCCGUG
Molecule: ribosomal RNA, 487 nt
Filed under: uncultured bacterium
Lineage: Bacteria
Description: bacterial SSU rRNA
Rfam family: Bacterial small subunit ribosomal RNA
Source: RNAcentral